RNAcentral lists this transfer RNA (25 nucleotides) under Zygaena sarpedon lusitanica. RNAcentral's name for it is "partial tRNA". The record is from RNAcentral. Lineage: Eukaryota; Metazoa; Arthropoda; Insecta; Lepidoptera; Zygaenidae.
UUAAAAAUAAGCUAAAUAAAGCUUU